Molecule: long non-coding RNA, 3065 nt
Organism: Brassica napus (rape)
Lineage: Eukaryota; Viridiplantae; Streptophyta; Magnoliopsida; Brassicales; Brassicaceae
Exons: 2
Source: RefSeq, a predicted model, not a curated record
AAAUUUUCUUCUUGGAUUUUCAGGUACAUGCCCAGCAGUACUAGAAGCAACAAGGAAACUCAACUUCUAUUCUCACCAGAUCCUGCAAGUUUGGAGGGUUCGAUCCGCAAAGAAGCGCGCUCCUCAUCGAUCGACAACAACACCUGUUCGUCGUUCGAUUUCUUUCAACCACCGUCGACCCAGACACUAGCCCCGUCGAAAGAUACUCGCUCACCACCAUCGACCGAAGACACUCAUCUUCCAUCGACCGACAUGAUCCAUCUGACAUCGAUCGAUACUCCAUCCCAGACAUCGAUCGAUACUGAGCCGCGAGACAUGGUUGCGACUCUGAUACUUAUUCGAGAUGAUAAUGGUGACCCUCAUGACAAGGAUGGUCAUCUGCGUAAUGCAGCAGGUCAGAGGAUAGAUGCUCAGGGGGCUGCAAUCCCUGAGUCUGAUGCUAAUGCUACAUGAACUACUUUACCUGUAGAUGAGGUUGCGCGACCCAAGACGUUGGCUGACUACAACCGUCCAGAUCAGUUCUACACCAAUAGAUCAGCCAUUCGUCCUCCCACUAUUCAGAGGGAUUUUGAGUUGAAGGCGCAGUACUACACACUCGUGGGACAUAUACCCUACCAUGGAUUAUCUCACGAGCAUCCUAUGGACCAUCUGGAGAGGUUCGAGGAUCUGAUAUCUGCUAUUAAAGUCAAAGGAGACCAUGAGGAUUAUCUCCUAUGCAAGCUCUUCAAGUUCUCUCUUGCUGGAGAAGCUUCUCAUUGGGUUAAGCAGCUACCACCAGGAUUUCUUAGAUCCUGGAACGAUAUCAAUAAUGCAUUCUUAUGCAAUUUCUUUGAUGAUGCACGUGCUGAAGACUUGAGGAGCAAGAUUGCUACAUUCACUCAGGAGCCUGCAGAAUCAUUCAAAAGCUCUUGGAUCAGAUUCAAGUCUUAUCAGAGAGACUGUCCACACCAUGGAUUCAAUGAAGUACAACUACUCAGUACUUUCUACAGAGGCAUCGCGGUGCAGUACAAUAUGGAUCUUGGUGCUUCCAGCAAUGGAAACUUCAACACCAGGAAUCUAGGAGAGGCAGUGAAGGUCAUUGAAAACCUAGCAUCUAGCAACAGCACCAAGAACACUGAUUUUGAGAGGAAGAAGUCUGCCACCAUCCUUGGGAAUGAUCAGAUGGAUGAGGUGCAAGCAACCUUAAAAACUAAGAGCACCUCCAUCCAUAGGAGCCUCUUAUGGGUUCUUUAGAUUAAUUUAAAAGUUAAAAAGGUGAUUUGAAAGAUUAAAAACCUUGGUUAGUGGUAAUUAAUUUUUUGACCUCCAUUGGAAGAACCUCAUAGGGGUUCUUAAUUUUUUUUUUUAAUUAGAAUGAUUUAAAUAAAAACAUACAUAAAAGUUUUAAUAAAAAUGACAUAAAAGCAUAUUACAAAUACAAAUACAAAUCGUAAAUGAGAAAAAACCGAUUAGUUGAAAUCUUGAUUUGUUCCAAAUUUUUGCCAUAUAUGCUCAACCAAAUCGCUUUUCAAUUGUUGAUGUAUUUUAUUAUCACGAACUCGAUUCCGAAUGCUCAUCAUAUUGCCUAGAUUUGAAGGCAUAUCAGUAGAAUACGUGAAAUCCACUUGUGAACUUCGAUUUGAUUCCAGUUGUGCGAAAACUGAUACAUCAAACUGAGUGUACCCAUCUCGUUCGUCUUCUACGAUCAUAUUGUGUAGUAUGAUACAUGCUCUCAUUAUCUUUCCAAUUGUGAUUUUAUCCCACAAAAGAGCAGAAUUUUUUACUAUGGCAAAUCGAGCUUGCAAGGCCCCAAAAGCACGCUCGACAUCUUUACAUACAGCCUCUUGAUGUGUAGCUAUUAAGGAUGCUUUCGGACCUUGCGGAAGUGGAAUAGAUUGGACAAAAGUAGCCCAUUUUGGUUAUAUACCAUCUGUGAGAUAGUAACUCAACUGGUACUCGUGUCCGUUGACAAUGUAAUUAACUUUUGGAGCUCGACCUUGUAAGAUAUCGUUUAAUGUACCUGGAGGUCCGAAAACACAUGCCAUAUCCAGAGAUCUUGUUCAACCAAGCACUUAUCAUAACAAGAUCUUCAGUUGGUGACCACUUCCUCCUUUCUUUACGGUCCGACACAACGAGUUCAUCUUCGUUUCCAUCGUCAGCCCACUGUGUACCGAAGACAGACGCAUCCGAGGAAGACAGUUCUAUACUAGGUUCGGGAGUGACAACGGAGAAGGAGGUGUUUGGUUGUUGACUGUGUAGGAGGUUUUGAAAGCUCCCAGGCUGAGUAAAUGGAUCCAUAGCGAAUGGGAGAAAGGAAUUAUGAAAGAAGAAGGAGAUAUGAGUUAUGAAAGAAGAAGGAGAUAUGAAUUAUCACAAAAGAAGGAGAUAUAAAUUUCGAAAGAAGAAGGAGAUAUGAAAAGAGAAAGGGAGAGUUGCUCGAUUUUUAAUGAAACGUUAAGGUUGGUUUAGUGUGUGUUUUAAUGGCAAUCAAUGCCUUCACCUAAAACUAUAACAGCCAACAACACUAAAUGUAAAUCACUUAAAGCCUACCUAAAACUAUAACAACCAUCAAUAUCUACCAGCUACCAGCACACAAAGAACAUUUAAUUCCUCCUAAUUAAUAUCUAACAUCUUCUUAAAAGGAAAGUGUACUAACCUCGGGCUUUGAUGAGGUUGAAUCCUUCUGAGAGACUCGCGUGGGUUCCGGAAUGAAUGAAACACUCCAUUGCCUCUUCCACACAACACCGAUCCUUACACAACCACCAAAGACAGAAUAGAGCAAAACGUAUGAGUACAAUUGAGUAAAAUCUAAGCAUCGAGUACUAAAAACAGAGCAACAUCUAUGAAUCAUGAUUCAUGAAUCAUGUUUGAACCAAUGUAAACUAUUCCAUAUGAAUGAUCCGAUGUAACAACAUUCCAAUCAGAGGUAAAGCUAUUCCAAUUACGAGGCAGAAGACAAUCAGAUCACAUUCAUCUAUCUCAAGAACAUAAACAAGGAUCGAACACAAACAAGAUUCUAAAACAUUAACCUGAUCUAAGAUUGUAAAACACAUCUCAAAAAGAUUCCACCUUUCUCGACAAAACAA